Molecule: long non-coding RNA, 638 nt
Organism: Helicoverpa armigera (cotton bollworm)
Lineage: Eukaryota; Metazoa; Arthropoda; Insecta; Lepidoptera; Noctuidae
Exons: 2
Source: RefSeq, a predicted model, not a curated record
UGAUAAACAUUUAGAUUUCAUAUAAAUACUCGCUGAACCGGCCUUAACACAAUAACAAAUUCGAGUGAUAGUGACUAACAAGUCGACUCGAGCAGUCCCAGUGAAUUUAAUAAAUUAAUUUUCAUCUGAAAAUAUUACUAAUCAACAUGCAGCGCAACCCAGCUUUCUCUUCCGCCAUGAACAACGGUUACCCAAGCUACUGCAUCGCUCCCAGCCCCUGCGUUGGACCACCAAGAAACCAGUUCUACCCCAACGGACCGGCACCACAGGCCUUCCAGCCUAACACCUGCUUCAUGACCGCCUCCGUGAUCAGAAAAAUGAGCAAUAACACCCCCCCAAAGGGGUACGGCCGCAAUUUCUAAGCAAACGAAAGCCUCAAGCAAUUUUCUAGGAAUCUCGAUUAGUUUGUAAACCCGUUUCGGCUACUGUUUACUGCUAGAUUAGGUUAAUUAAUCUCAGUUAAUUUAUUUUGUAAGCUUUAUUAAUUUAAGCGUACUGACUUAUUUAUUACAAUUUAAAUUAAUGUAUCAUAAGCAUAUUGUCAUCAAGCACAUUUGAAUCACAAUUUUCAUCGCACUCGUCAUUUAAGCCGUUUUAUACAUAAAAACAGGUUUUCAAUAAAAUAUUUAAAUCCUAUA